This 725-nucleotide ribosomal RNA is filed under the name Alteromonas macleodii. RNAcentral describes it as "bacterial SSU rRNA". It matches the Rfam family "Bacterial small subunit ribosomal RNA", at positions 115 to 839 of the family's 1533-position model. The record is from RNAcentral. Lineage: Bacteria; Pseudomonadati; Pseudomonadota; Gammaproteobacteria; Alteromonadales; Alteromonadaceae.
GCUUGGGAACUUGCCUUUGCGAGGGGGAUAACAGUUGGAAACGACUGCUAAUACCGCAUAAUGUCUUCGGACCAAACGGGGCUUCGGCUCCGGCGCAAAGAGAGGCCCAAGUGAGAUUAGCUAGUUGGUAAGGUAACGGCUUACCAAGGCGACGAUCUCUAGCUGUUCUGAGAGGAAGAUCAGCCACACUGGGACUGAGACACGGCCCAGACUCCUACGGGAGGCAGCAGUGGGGAAUAUUGCACAAUGGGGGAAACCCUGAUGCAGCCAUGCCGCGUGUGUGAAGAAGGCCUUCGGGUUGUAAAGCACUUUCAGUUGUGAGGAAAAGUUAGUAGUUAAUACCUGCUAGCCGUGACGUUAACAACAGAAGAAGCACCGGCUAACUCCGUGCCAGCAGCCGCGGUAAUACGGAGGGUGCGAGCGUUAAUCGGAAUUACUGGGCGUAAAGCGCACGCAGGCGGUUUGUUAAGCUAGAUGUGAAAGCCCCGGGCUCAACCUGGGAUGGUCAUUUAGAACUGGCAGACUAGAGUCUUGGAGAGGGGAGUGGAAUUCCAGGUGUAGCGGUGAAAUGCGUAGAUAUCUGGAGGAACAUCAGUGGCGAAGGCGACUCCCUGGCCAAAGACUGACGCUCAUGUGCGAAAGUGUGGGUAGCGAACAGGAUUAGAUACCCUGGUAGUUCACACCGUAAACGCUGUCUACUAAGCUGUGUGUGUCUUAUAAGGACG